CGGCGGACGGGUGAGUACACGUGGGUAACCUGCCUGUAAGACUGGGAUAACUCCGGGAAACCGGGGCUAAUACCGGAUGCUUGAUUGAACCGCAUGGUUCAAUCAUAAAAGGUGGCUUUUAGCUACCACUUACAGAUGGACCCGCGGCGCAUUAGCUAGUUGGUGAGGUAACGGCUCACCAAGGCGACGAUGCGUAGCCGACCUGAGAGGGUGAUCGGCCACACUGGGACUGAGACACGGCCCAGACUCCUACGGGAGGCAGC
This 263-nucleotide ribosomal RNA is filed under the name Bacillus sp. CR3(Thailand). RNAcentral describes it as "partial 16S ribosomal RNA". It matches the Rfam family "Bacterial small subunit ribosomal RNA", at positions 96 to 352 of the family's 1533-position model. The record is from RNAcentral. Lineage: Bacteria; Bacillati; Bacillota; Bacilli; Caryophanales; Bacillaceae.